Molecule: transfer-messenger RNA, 404 nt
Filed under: Muribaculaceae
Lineage: Bacteria; Pseudomonadati; Bacteroidota; Bacteroidia; Bacteroidales
Also listed under: 1 other name
Description: CAG-485 sp014800845 Standard tmRNA
Rfam family: transfer-messenger RNA
About the family: Bacterial tmRNA, also known as 10Sa RNA or SsrA, is named for its dual tRNA and mRNA-like properties.
Source: RNAcentral
GGGGGUGACUGGCUUUGACAGCGUGACGAAGCGGAGAGCAAGCAUGCAGAGCGUUGACAUUGACGCUCUAUAAUAUCUCGGUGUCGACCUAUAACUGGCGAAAAUAACAACUACGCUCUCGCUGCCUAAACUGAAGUAUAGUAGGUUUGCUUAAUCUCUGCCAAAGUGGGCAGAGACGUGACAUCACCCCAUUGCCCCGUUCCGAGACGUUUGGAUAAGGUGGUGCUAAGAAAUUCGGAAAUAGAGAGCAUGGAUUCUCGACAUGUUCUCGAGAUUUAGAGAAUAAGCUUAUCAUUGGUAGCUGCGAGCCUGUGAUAAGACGAAAACAAAGUCGAUAGCUAAGCAUGUAGAAACCUCUACGAUUCCACGUUUGGACGAGGGUUCAAUCCCCUCCACCUCCACUA